CUUGGGAUAGGAGCUCUUCACAUUUGGUGGCCUUGCUUUGAUUUAUAUGGAAAUGUAUCUUUUUGAAGCUAUGAAGUUCUUCCUCUUCAGAAUCAUUAGCUGAACCCCACAGCCAGUUCUGUAAAACCCAGAGUAAAAUCAAUCCCAUUUUAGACAACUGGGCUUCAAUGUCUUGACCAAGGAUGAUCCCGCUUCUUGUCCAUCAAGCCCAAGCUCUUCAGGAUCUUCUUCAUCUGCAUUUCCUUGCCAGCCCAAAUACAGACUUAGUGCACAUUUGCCAGAAGGAAGGAAGGAGAAAAGGAUGAAGAGACUACCAAGAUGGUGCCUCUAGUCUUCACUGAAGGCUUCUGGAAGGAUGCCAGGAUAUUUGGGGCAGAACAACAGGAAAACUAAAAGGUAGUUGCAGUCACAGGACAUUGUGUUACACACCCCACACUCAAGUUUCAAACUUGGGGAGAUGGGCAAUGCAAGAGGCUUUCUCUGAGUGUUCAACAAACUGACUUGCUUCAUGGGAUUGAUCAAGAGAGAAACACAGGACAAAUAAUCCAUACACUGGUGAAGUUAUUUAUAGUAGUCAGUGGGAAUCAAGUACAAGUAUGUAGAAGAGACUGAGAUUUUUC
This is an RNA transcript of Heterocephalus glaber (naked mole-rat), 620 nucleotides long. RefSeq lists it as uncharacterized. The record is from RefSeq and is a predicted model, not a curated record. Lineage: Eukaryota; Metazoa; Chordata; Mammalia; Rodentia; Bathyergidae.